CACGUAGGGGACGAGCGUUGUCCGGAUUCAUUGGGCGUAAAGCGCGCGUAGGCGGCUCGGAAAGUCGGUCGUGAAAUGCCGGGGCUCAACCCCGGGACUGCGUCCGAUACUCCCGAGCUGGAGGCAGGUAGGGGAGAUCGGAAUUCCUGGUGUAGCGGUGAAAUGCGCAGAUAUCAGGAGGAACACCCGUGGCGAAAGCGGCUCUCUGGGACGGUACUGACGCUGAGACGCGAAAGCGUGGGGAGCAAACAGG
RNAcentral lists this ribosomal RNA (253 nucleotides) under uncultured bacterium. Its description in RNAcentral is "partial 16S ribosomal RNA". It matches the Rfam family "Bacterial small subunit ribosomal RNA", at positions 524 to 776 of the family's 1533-position model. The record is from RNAcentral.